CCUACGGGAGGCAGCAGUAGGGAAUUUUCGGCAAUGGGGGGAACCCUGACCGAGCAACGCCGCGUGAACGAAGAAGUUAUUCGUAAUGUAAAGUUCUUUUAUCAGGGAAGAAAGAGGAAUUUGACGGUACCUGAGGAAUAAGCUCCGGCUAACUACGUGCCAGCAGCCGCGGUAAUACGUAGGGAGCGAGCGUUAUCCGGAAUUAUUGGGCGUAAAGGGUGCGUAGAUGGCAUAGUAAGUCUUUUGUAAAAAUGCUGGGCUCAACCCAGUAGGGCAAAAGAUACUGCAAAGCUAGAGUAUGACAGAGGCAAGUGGAACUACAUGUGUAGCGGUAAAAUGCGUAAAUAUAUGUAAGAACACCAGUGGCGAAGGCGGCUUGCUGGGUCGAUACUGACAUUGAGGCACGAAAGCGUGGGGAGCAAACAGGAUUAGAUACCCGAGUAGUACA
RNAcentral lists this ribosomal RNA (448 nucleotides) under Streptococcus agalactiae. Its description in RNAcentral is "bacterial SSU rRNA". It matches the Rfam family "Bacterial small subunit ribosomal RNA", at positions 338 to 797 of the family's 1533-position model. The record is from RNAcentral. Lineage: Bacteria; Bacillati; Bacillota; Bacilli; Lactobacillales; Streptococcaceae.